GGAAGUAAAAGUCGUAACAAGGUUUCCGUAGGUGAACCUGCGGAAGGAUCAUUGUCGUGACCCUGACCAAAACAGACCGCGCACGCGUCAUCCAAUCCGUCGGCGACGGCACCGUCCGUCGCUCGGCCAAUGCCUCGACCACCUCCCCUCCUCGGAGUGGGUGGGGGCUCGGGGUAAAAGAACCCACGGCGCCGAAGGCGUCAAGGAACACUGUGCCUAACCCGGGGGCAUGGCUAGCUUGCUAGCCAUCCCUCGUGUUGCAAAGCUAUUUAAUCCACACGACUCUCGGCAACGGAUAUCUCGGCUCUCGCAUCGAUGAAGAACGUAGCGAAAUGCGAUACCUGGUGUGAAUUGCAGAAUCCCGCGAACCAUCGAGUCUUUGAACGCAAGUUGCGCCCGAGGCCACUCGGCCGAGGGCACGCCUGCCUGGGCGUCACGCCAAAACACGCUCCCAACACCCCUCAUCGGGAAUCGGGAUGCGGCAUCUGGUCCCUCGUCUCGCAAGGGGCGGUGGACCGAAGAUCGGGCUGCCGGCGUACCGCGCCGGACACAGCGCAUGGUGGGCGUCCUCGCUUUAUCAACGCAGUGCAUCCGACGCGCAGCCGGCAUGAUGGCCUCAAAACGACCCAGCAAACGAAGCGCACGUCGCUUCGACCGCGACCCCAGGUCAGGCGGGACUACCCGCUGAGUUUAAGCAUCAAUAAGCGGAGGA
RNAcentral lists this ribosomal RNA (712 nucleotides) under Campeiostachys dahurica var. tangutorum. Its description in RNAcentral is "eukaryotic LSU rRNA". The stretch from base 281 to 436 matches the Rfam family "5.8S ribosomal RNA". The record is from RNAcentral. Lineage: Eukaryota; Viridiplantae; Streptophyta; Magnoliopsida; Poales; Poaceae.